GCAAUGGUGGUUCAGUGGUAGAAUUCUUGCCUUUUAUGCAGGAGACGCAGGUUUGAUCUCUGGCCAAUGCA
This 71-nucleotide transfer RNA is filed under the name Loxodonta africana (African savanna elephant). It matches the Rfam family "tRNA". From Rfam's summary of the family: Transfer RNA (tRNA) molecules are approximately 80 nucleotides in length. The record is from Rfam by way of RNAcentral. Lineage: Eukaryota; Metazoa; Chordata; Mammalia; Proboscidea; Elephantidae.